Molecule: non-coding RNA, 10595 nt
Organism: Equus caballus (horse)
Lineage: Eukaryota; Metazoa; Chordata; Mammalia; Perissodactyla; Equidae
Source: RefSeq, a predicted model, not a curated record
UCCAGUCUUCAUAGUAACCUGUUCAGUGAGGGUCGUCAUCCCCAUUCUACAGGUGGGGAUGCUGAGGCUCAAGAUCAAACCUGAUCUGUUAGUCUCCUCGUAAUGGCCACAACCCUGGCCUUCAAGAUCUCUGGGGAAACCCCCUUCUGAGUUCUCUGUCCUAGCAGGAGGGCACUGUGUUUGCUAAGUGUUAACCCAGAGCAUUUUAAUUAGCUUUUUAGAAGCUUCUCACACAGCUAGUAAGUGACAAGCUGGGGAAUCAAAUCCUAGUUCUAUGCUGCUUCUAACACCUGUAUUGUUACUUAACUGCAGGUGUGUGUGCACCUGUGGCCUUGGUGAAAUUAUGUACUCCUUGAGUGUGGAGAUUCUGUUUCCUGCUUUGCGUAAGGCCUGCUUCGUGCUGGGGACUAGCACAUAGUACACGCUCAGUCAACAUUUGGCUGAUUAUCUCUUCUCUCCUACCCCAAAUUCGAGAUGCUCUGCCCCUAAGUCAUUUGCUUAGGAAGGAGCAAUGGAAUGCUGUUAGUUUCUCUCAGAUCCUCUUCCGUUUGGGAGUUUUUGUGGGGCAUUCCCAUAGCUGACCUUGGGAACAGAGAUCCAAUUCUUUCAAUUUGGAGCAUUUAUAUCCUGAUCACACCCAUUCCCAUGAUGCAUCUUCUCAUGGUCUUGGACAGUUUAGAUCUUGGCCUGGUGGGAGGACAGGGGAGAGAUGGUGGCCUCCUGUGAUCCCUUGGGCUCCAGAAUCUUGGAUGCCAAUUUCUCACCUUUGGCCUGGUCCCUACUGUCCUCUGUGGGACACUUGCAGUUAAGGACUCAAACUCUCAGUCCCACUUUGGGGUUCAGGAAGAGCUGGUCCACCCUCCCCCAUCCAUCUCUGUUUUAGCUUUCUUCCUCCUAAUGGUUUGCCACCUUGGCAGGAAGGGUGCUGCUGGGAGCGAGGGAGGCCCCUCUUGCAAGUUCUCUCUCCUAGCAAGAGGGCACUGUGUUCGCUAAUAGGUGUUAAAUGGGAGCAUCAAAUUUUAAUCAGUUCCUUAAUGGAGUCUGGGGACCUGGGGGAGUUCUCGAGUCCUGCAUUAUGCCGCUUGCUGGAGCCAAGCUGGACGUGGUGAGUGGGAAGGUGGGAUGGGCAGCUGCUGUCACAGCCAGAGCUACUAGAAGGUGGGGUAGGGCUGGCCCUGUUGACAGUCACUUUCAGCCAGGAUGGCACAGCUCAGCUAGUGUCACCACUGUGACUACUCUUGGUGACAAUCCACUGAUGGCUUCCUCUUGGUAGGAAGCAGGUCUAGCAACAAAUGUGGAAAUGGGAGAUCACUGGCAUCAGAAGACCCUGGUUUAUAUGCUGAGAUUCUCAAGUUGAGCGAAUGUGGACAGCUUCUUUGGUGUGGUAGCUCAUUAUAAUAAUGGCCCUCAAUGAAUAAUGGCCCUCCCUGUGUCCCUUUUGCAAUGGGAUGUUGCCACUCCUCCCAUUAAGAGGCAGAGUACAUUUCUCCAUCUCCUUUACCCUGAGUUGGCCUGUGGCUUAUUUUGACUAACAGAAGAUGGUGGAAGUGUCAUUAGGUGAAUUCUGGAGCUGCUUUCCACUUGCUUGGAAUACUGCCCUGAGACUCCCAUGAAAGGGAGCCUUUCUAUUCUAGUGGAGGGUGAGAACCCCUGUAGAGGAGAACCAGGGUGGCUUGCUCAUGGCCAGCACCAUCUGCCAGACCUGUGAGCAAGGUGACCUUCCAGCUCCAGGUGAGCUGUCAGCUGGCUGCAGCGUAUGAGUGACCCUAGGGAAGACCUGCAGAAGGACCACCCAGAUUGUAAGAAAUAAAAAAUCGUUGUUUCAAGGCACUGAGUUUUGGGGUGCUUUGUUGCUUAUUAAUGGAUAAGUGAACUGCUGGCUUCUCUAAGCCUUGGAUUCUGAGAUUUAGCACAGGAGCACCUUGUUGUUGGGAGGGGCAUCAGUGAUAGGUGCCCUGGACUGUGCCUGGGACAUAGUAGGUCUGCCUGGGGAGAGAAUUACUGUUAGUGAGACUGGAAAGGAGAGUGAGGCUGGUUAGGAAGGGCCUUGAUUGCCACAGUGAGGAGAUGUGAUAGCGGUGGUAGUGGGACGAGAGGAGAGGAAUGAAGUGCAAGAAAUUCCUGAGACGAAACAAUGGGACUUGAUGAAUGACUGGUACGAGCAGGAAGGGUGAGUCAGAGAUGCCUCGGAGGUUGCCAGCCUGGGUAAGUGGGUAAACAACGCUGCUGAGGAAAGUGGGAGGAAGAGCAGGUCUGGGGGGGAAGAUGAACAAGUUCAGCUUUGCUCAGUUGGCUGUGAGAAGGAGAUACCUGGAUGCAGGUGAGUAUAUGGGUCUGAGCUCAGGAGAGUGGCCAGGGACGGGGCUGGAGGUGUGGGACUCACUGGGGAGCAGGAGGCCCUUGAAACCUGGAGGAUGACUGUCUUAGUCGCUUUGGGCUGCUGUAACAGAACAUCAUAGACUGGGUGGCUUAGAAACAACAGAAACUUAUUUCUUCCAGUUCGGAGGAUGGAAGUCAGAGAUCAGGGUGCUAGCGCGGUGAGGUUCUGUGUCUGGUGAAGACCUGCUUCCCGCUCCAUAAGCUGCCAUCUUCUCUCUGUGUCUGCACCUGGUGGAAGGGGUGAGGAAUCUCCCUGGCGUCCCUUGCGUGAGGGCACUAAAGGCAUUCAGGAGGGUUCCACUCUGAUGACCUAAUUACCUCUCAAAGGCUCCGCAUCCUAAUACCAUCACCAUGGGUGUUAGAGUUUCAUCAUAUGAAUUUUGGGGUGGUCACAAGCAUUCAGACCAUACCAGUGACUCAAAGGGCUGGGUUAGGGACACAAGGCUGGGACAUCCCAGGUUUCUCCAGGGAUUAAAGUGAAGUAUAGCUAAAGUAACAGCUUGGAUAGCCUACCAGCCUACUGAAGAUUUAGUCUGCAGGGGUCAGUCUCUCCGGAAACCCUUUGUUUCAGGAGAAAAUGUGAACCAUCAAGAGGGCCUCACAGAUGAGUGGAUUCCAGACUUCCACAGUGCUCCAAGGGCAGCUAAUUUCCAAUCGCAAUCUGUGAUUUGAUUUAAUUUUAAAAAGCCCAUCUAUAAAACUCAACAAGGAGAUGCUAACUGUAGUGGCCUCCCGGCUGAAGAUUAAUGGGUGAUUUUUUCCCCCCUUCUUUCUAUUUUUUUGGACAUCCCAAAUCUUCUGUAAUGAGCAUUCAGUACUUUUUCUUGGCACGCAAUAUUUUUAAAAGGACACACACACAAAAACCAAAUUACAAAAACAAAUCAAAACAAGAAGAUUUUAAGGCUGGAGAAUAGAACUUUACUUCCAGGAAAAGGGGGGCCCCAGAUAUGGUUCUGCUCUCAAACACCAGGACCCCACAAAAGAGCAAAGCCCAAGGAGGACAGAAAGGGGAAAUGGUCACUCUCCCUGGAGCUGCAGAGACAGAUCCAACUUUACAGGUCUGAAAAUCUGUGAACAGUUGAGGAAAGAUGGUGGUGGCAGCUGGGAAGGGGAGGGUGAAGUAACCUGGCCUUGACGGCCUUUUGGGAAAGUUGGUGUUUUAGGUGCUUAGCUUUGAGUUGGUCAUAGUCGGCCUGACCAUGUUGGGAGCCCUUGGGUGGCAGAAGAACAUAUGUCCAGGUGGGCCAGGCCACAGGGUUGGGUUCUCCAGCCAAGGAGAGUGGAACAGUCCAAGUCGCUGAGUCCUGAGGGUAGGCGUGGAGGUAUGAUGUCUCAUCUGCAAGUCAUCACUUCUGAGAGCACCGGGCAGUCAGAUGAAGGUCCAAAGCUUUGCUUAGGGAGUCCUGAAAUGCAAGCAGAUGCAAGGAGGCUCGCCUGGGUCCUGGGCAGGGUAGGGAGGGGAGAAAGGCUUGGUGAGUAGCAAUCAAUAGCCAGCUGACCCAAGGGGGCCUGGCAAUGGUACCCAGGCUGUAGAGAGGGAGGCUGAAGCUUAAUGUUUCUUCUCAAGUGCACCCCGCCCCUGGCUUACCCUGGCCCCCUGACUUUGGCUAGCUUGGGCAGGCUGCUUUCAUCCUCUACUUGCUAUUGGAGGAAGGGCUUCUGGUAUCUCCCAGCCCUGGAUCUCCACACUCAAGGUAGGUUGGGAGUAAGUGUGCCGGCAGCUGGGUAGAAUUGCACAGUUGGGCUGGUGAGAGGAGAAUUCAACCAGGGGGAAGGAAACUUUGAAUAUAAACCCUGUUGGUUUGCAUCCCCAUGGCAGAGGGGCUAUCUCAAAAGAGAAAAUCCACUCAUCUCAUUGCUCAGAAAGGUCCUCUUGAUUUUUUGGGGAGGGGGGAUAAGCAUGUGAGUUUGGGGAGGAUAAAGUGAGACACAGGAGGUGAAAUAACUUGCUAUAAAGCAAAUGGCUGUGUGAGAGUGGGGUAUUAGUGUGGUUAUCCCUGCAAGGGUGGGGAGCCCUUCCUGUUGAAUGCCUGUCUGUCCUCCUAGACUGUCAUGUUCGUGGAUGUUGUGUUCACGGCUGUAAUAACUGCUAAGCUUUGUUAACCACUUAAUUGAUGUCAGGCUCCUACUAAGCACUUUGCAAAUGCCAUCUUAACCCUGUAUGACCCUACUAUCCCCAGUUUACAGACGAGGAGUCAGAGGCCCAAGAGUUACCUUGGCAUACAGUGCACGUCCCGUAAGUUCCAGAGGCCGAUGCAGGUGGUCUAGUCCAGAGCCUGUACUCUUAACCUCUGUCCUUUAAGCCAAAUCCCCAGCAUGCUGCACACAGUAGGCACUCAUGAAAUAUUUGUUGCGCUGAGUUAAAUCAAAUCAGAUUGCUAUUCCCAGGAAAGCCAAAGAUCAUAAAUUCUUUGGAACCCGAAUCUCUUUAAACACCAUUUUUAGAAUCUCAGUUACUGGGAAGAAAACAAAAUAGGAGGGUGGGUAGGUCUUCAAGAAGGAUCUCACUCUUCCCUGUUUGCAGCUGGUGUGGUUUGCUGCCCUCCGAUGCUGCCCCUGCCUGGUAGAUAGCCCUUCCUCCCAUCUUGCCCUCUUGGGGGAGAGAGGAGGAUGGAGCGCCCACCGUGGCACACAGGAGCAGGGGCAGAGCAAAGAUCAGUGCUCUCCAAGCUGCUGGAGCCGGUGAGGCGGAGGCCAGACGAGCUGGAGCUGAAUACAAUUUUUGUCAGAGUUCCCUUCCCGUCUGUGAAUGCAAAUCCUGAAUUACAAGCCAUCCGGAUGACAAGCUGACAUUUUAGCUCCAAACAUUCUCCUAUAAUUAGUAGAAUCUAAUGCAAUACAGGGAAUGGCUCCAUUUUACACACACGUUAUCGUAAUGCCUUUAAAUAAGAUAAUUGAUUAUGCCUCUGCAUAAGAAAGUGAAAUAUUCGGUGUAAUUAAAACCAGCAUUCCGAUCCUGGCUCUCUGACAGGUGAUCCACGUGUCACUUUAUAAACCCUCAAAGUAGUGUUCACGCCCACAUUCCAGUUUUCAAAGUUUGUUGUAAAAAAACUUUGGAGAAUUUUUUUUCUUCUUCUCAUGGUUUUCAGCUUUGGGUCUAGAAAUCUGAGUGAAGGUAGCUACUGACUUUUUGGGUAUUUCUGUAUUCCUCCUCAGCUCCCUGACACAAUCACAAACUGUCUCAUGUUUCCCUGUAGAUCUUCAUUUUAUAGAUGGGGAAAUUGAGGCACAGGGAAGCGACAGCACUUCUGUGGCUGAGUCAGGCUUGGAAUUCAAAAUCUGUUUUACAGCCCUUGAGAUUAGAUUUUAAUUUGAGUUGUUUUGCUAAAAGUGGGAAAAAGUAUGGUUCAGUGGACAGAAUGUAAGGCUGGGAUCAGGAAGUCUGAAUUCCAGUCUUGGCUUUGCAAUCAGUUAACUUCUCUGAGCAUUCAUUUCUCCACUUACUUCAUUGAUUGGCUGCGGAAAAGUUAGAUCAAUUUAGUAAAGUGAGAGAUCUUAAUACAAUGGCAAUCUAAUAGGUAGGCUCCUGGGUCGUCCGGGGUGGGUGUGGGGAGAUUAGUUGUUUGAGUAAAGAAAAGUCAGAUAUGGCUGUAGAAAUCUCAGUGACCCUGAGUUCUAGGAAGUCCCCAAUACUGCCCCAUUCCUCUUGAGCCAACCUCCGUCUCCUGGAAGUUGAGUGGUGGGAAUGAGACAGGAGUGGGCGAUACUAGUAGGAAGGCCAGUUGAGAAUUGUGUGGGUCACUAUCUGCCUUUCUGAUACCUGAAGAUGCUGCUGCAGAUAUCUCAAGUGGCCUUGACACUGUCCUACAUUAGUCCCACCCUCUCAGGAAGUCUCCAAAGGUUAAUUUGUGACAUACUUUUGUGGGACAGCUGGUGGGUGUUGGGUGAGUACUCUGGGGCCAGGAAACCAAGCUACUUCAAUUGGUUUCUCUUAAGCGGGCAAACUAGUUACUUCAUCUUUCUUCUCGUGGACUCCAUACUUUCACCCCAAUAAUCAUACUAACCAAAGCCUAGCUCCUUACAGAGAUAUCAAGACUACUACAUUUGUGCAGGAAAAACUCUUCCCAGGAUUGUCCUGUUCACCCUUGUAUUAGUUUCCUAUUGCUGCUGAACAAAUUACCACACACUCAGUGUCUCAAUACAACACACAUGUAUCAUUUACUGGAGGUCAGAAGUCUGAAGUGGAUCUCGCUGAGCUAAAAUCACAGUGUUGGCAGGGUGGCAUUCCUUCUGGAGGCUCUAGGGGAGAAUCCAUUUCCCUGCCUUUCCAGCUUCCAGAGGCUGCCUGCGUUCUUUGGCUCACGGUCUCUUCCUCCAUCUUCAGAGCCAGCAAAGGCCAGUGAAGUCUUUCUAACUGUGCCAUAUCUCUGAUUCUGACUCUUCUGUCCCCCUCUUCCCCAUUUCAGGACCCUUUUGAUUACACUGAGCCUUCCAGGAUCAUCCAGGGAAACGUCCCCAUCUCAAGAUCCUUAACUCAAUCACAUCUGCAAGGUCCAUUUAGCCACGUAAAGUAACGUAAUCACAUGGUCCAGGGAAUAGGAUGUGGGCAUGUUUUUUGGGAGCCAUUAUUCUGCCUACCACAUGAUCUAGCCCCAAGGAUAAUUGUAUUAGUUAUCUAUUGCUUCUUAAUAAAUUACCUCUAAAUUUUGUGGCCUGAACAAUGAGCAUUUACUGCCUCACAGUUUCUAUUUGUAAGGAAUCUGGGUAUCCCUGGCUGGGGGUCUCUCACAAGGCUCUAAUCAAGGUCAGCUGGAGCUAUAGUCAGCUCAAAGCUUGAUGGGGGUGGAUUCACUUCCAAGUUCACUCACAUGGCUGUUGGCAGCCCUCAGGUUGUCACUGGCUGUUGACUGGAAACAUCAGUUCUUUGCCAUAUCGGCCUCUCCAUAGGGUAGCUCACAAUAUGGCAGCUGAAUUCCUUCAGAGUGAGCGAGUGUGAGAGGAAAAGAGAGCACCCAAGUGGAAGCCAUAGUCUUUUUAUAACCUAAUAUUGGAAGUGACAUCUCAUUGCUUUUUGCCAUAUCCUAUUUGUUAGAAAUGAGUCAAUAAAUCCAGCCCCUGCUCAAGAAGAGCAGAUUACACAAGAGUGUAAUCAAGAAGGGAGGAUCAAAUCCAGGGCCAUCUUAGAGGUGGCUUACUCCAGCAAUCACACAUACCACUUCCCUUAGGGAAGGCUGAUCCAUAAUGAUCAGAGAUUAGGCUUCCAAAAUUUAAGGCAGGAGAAAUCAGACUUUAGGGACCUCAUCCUAAUACGUAGGAAAGUGAGAUAUGGAGAGGGUGGGUGGGUAGGUGAGUGGCUAUAAAACUUUCUUCCAUCUCGGUCAGUGGUUCUCUAACUUAGGAGGCAUAUUAGAAUUAUCUGGAAAGCAAGAAAAAUAUCAAAGCCUGGGCUCCAACUGUGUAGAUUCUUAGUUAGUUGGACUGAAGUAGAAUCCAUGCGUAUACAUUUUUUAGAACUCCUGUAAUUCUGGUUUGUAUCAGGGUUGAGAAAGUUUGAUCUAAAGAGUUUGCUGAUAUCUACAAGAGGGGAUUUGGAGACCCCAUGGAACUCUUUGAAGUCUGGAUCUUCCAAAUGAUGAUAAUGAUGAUGAGGAUGAAGACAAUAAUAAGAAGAAUUAUUGUUUACGUGAGUACUUAAUACUUGGCAGGCACUGUGUUACUUAUCUCCUGAGCCUCAGUUUCCUUAUCUAAAAAAUGAAGAAAGCAGCAUCAAUCCAACAGGGGAAUUGUGAAGUCUCAAUGAUUUAAGUAUGCAAAAUGUUCACAGCAACGCUUGGCACCUGGUCAAUGCUUGCUUCACGUCAGCUCCUUCCUGUCCUGGCCAUCCUCGUACUCCUUUUGGGGAGCCAAGAUAUCAUGAAGAAGGAAUUCCCUGCCCCACUGCCCUAGACUGUUGGAACUGCUGGACAAGGCUGAGUGAACUCAGAGGCACCUACAAAGGACAUUGUGUAAGUGACCAUAGGCCUGAUGGGCUGCCCAGGAGCCCAUGAUGCAGCCCUGGCCUGGGGUGAGGCCAGCUGCGUGGUGCACCCAGGUCCUCUGUUAAAUGGCUUGGACCAGCAGCCUGAGCCAAGAGCAGUGAUUCUGGCCUAUUUUUACCUCCAAGUGGCAGAGCUGGAUCUAUUCCUCUUCUUAGAGGAACAGUCUCUGCUGAAUACAGCUUACCUCUAAGGCCCCAGUCCACUUCUUGUCACUGAUGACUGAGCUCUGUUGAUAAUUAUUCCCAACCUUGCCAGACCUCUUAGGCUUCUCCAGAGCUACCUGGUAGUCUGGCCUGGGGCUAAGGUGGUUGUGAUUCUUCCUGGGCAGGAUUUUGGCCUCCCCUGCUUAGGCCAUCACUGGGUUCUUCUGGUGUGCUUGUACUUGUCUCCUCUCAUCAUCCUAAAUAGGAAAGUAGAAAGGGAUGGUGACCUAAGCCAUCUUCUCUGUUCUUCCAUUAUUAGGGAAACUGAGGCAGAGUAGAGGGCCUUAUCUGCUUACUGAUGGCAUCAGCUUGACUACAUGUGAAGUUCAGAGCCUCCUAGAAGCUUCAACCCAGUGAAGAUACUCAUGAACUGACUGUUUUGUGUGUUCUUUUCUGCCAGAAGCCAAGAUCCUAGGGACUGGUGACAAGGAUACAAGAAGUUAUGUGGUUCUAGUUUCAAAGGGGCUAAGUGCAAGAUUCAAAAUGGUUUUUCUAUAUUGAAAUUAGGGUGAGAAAGACUACCCUUUAAAUCCUGGUUUUGCCACUAUCUUGCUGUGUUACUUAAGGCAAGUUUGUUCACUUAACUUAUCUCAGCCUUGGUUUUCUUAUCUGUGACAUGGGUGUAUCAGUCAGCACAGGCUCAUGCUGCAGUAACAAACAAUCCCCAAAUCUCAGUUGCUUAACACAGCAAAGGUUUGUUUUGUAUUCACUUUUCAUGCCCACCUUGGGUCUACUAAAGGCUCUGCUACAUGUUGUCUUUGUUCUAGGACAGAGACUGACAAAAAUAGUUAUCGUCAGAGACAUUGCCAAUCCUGUGGCAGCUGGACAGGGAGAGUGGGGACAGAUAAUGGUACCUUGGUUCUUGCAGCUUCCACCUGGAAGUAACACACAUCAUUCUGCUUACAUUUCAUUGGUCAGAGCAAGUCCCACGGCGGCAUCUAACUCCAAGGAUUCAGGGAAGUGCAGUCUUACCACGUGCCCAGAAAGGAGGAGAUCUGGAAAUGUUUGGUGAACAGCACUACUGGCUCCCACAUUGAGUAAUCUUAUAUCAACUUCCCUGUGGGGUUACUGUAAAGAUUAAAGGAGAUGAUGGAUGAAAAAUCACUUUGCAAAUAAUAGACACAGUUGAUAACAGACAUUGGACCCGUGAGGAUCUUCAGAUUCAUGAGGAAGAGGAGGAGCCUCACCUGGGAAACAUCUGCCAGGUGAUCCUUUCCUCCCAGUUCCUCCCGUGGCUUCUACUCGUUCUCUCAGGAGGAUCUUAUCUGCAGUGUUAACAGCAAGAACUCCGGAGCCAGCCUGCCUGGUGGGAACCCCAGCUCUGCCACUGUGAGCAAGGCACAUGAAAACAUCUGCUGCUUUUGGACUUUCGGGACACCAUUGGAUUAAUCAUGUUUGCAAAAUACCUCAAAACGGAGUAGAAACCCAGCAAGAUUGCUACUCUUAAAUGGAGGACUCUGUGGUCCAGUCUGGAGGGAGCUUGUGCUGUAACUAUCGCCAUCUGCUGGUGGGAGGCUGAGCUGAUGUGAUCUGAGCGACGUGAUAGAGUGUUGUUUGUAUCUAGGCUUGACCCAGUGUUCUUUCUGCUACAUCAGAUCACCUGGCAGGAUAGCUUCUCAAUGUGGAGGAAAAUGACACAUGGCUUCUCUUUGCGGAAGGGACUGUAAAAGUGGAAAAAGUAAUAAAGUUUAAUUUUCAUAUAGAAAUAAUGCACAUUCUCUAAAGAAGAUGUGGAAAGCAUGGGAAUAUAAAGUGAAGGAGAAGUUAUUCAUGGACACACCACCCGAGGAUGAAUAUGAGGAAACUGAGACCUAUAGGAGGUACAAGAUUUACCCAAUAUCACAAGACAGGUCACUCAAAAGAAAAUAUAAGGACCAAGGAAGCAAUCCAUAUUUGUCAGGCAAGGAGCGGACCUGGUGUUAAGAAGUCCUCGGGGGGGGCUGGCCCCGUGGCCGAGUGGUUAAGUUCGCGCGCUCCGCUGCAGGCGGCCCGGUGUUUCGUCGGCUCGAGUCCUGGGCGCGGACAUGGCACUGCU